Molecule: ribosomal RNA, 494 nt
Filed under: uncultured bacterium
Lineage: Bacteria
Description: partial 16S ribosomal RNA
Rfam family: Bacterial small subunit ribosomal RNA
Source: RNAcentral
ACGAACGCUGGCGGCGUGCCUCAUCCCUGCCAGUAGAACGCUGAAGGAGGAGCUUGCUCUUCUGGAUGAGUUGCGAACGGGUGAGUAACGCGUAGGUAACCUGCCUGGUAGCGGGGGAUAACUAUUGGAAACGAUAGCUAAUACCGCAUAAGAGUAGAUGUUGCAUGACAUUUACUUAAAAGGUGCAAUUGCAUCACUACCAGAUGGACCUGCGUUGUAUUAGCUAGUUGGUGGGGUAACGGCUUACCAAGGCGACGAUACAUAGCCGACCUGAGAGGGUGAUCGGCCACACUGGGACUGAGACACGGCCCAGACUCCUACGGGAGGCAGCAGUAGGGAAUCUUCGGCAAUGGACGGAAGUCUGACCGAGCAACGCCGCGUGAGUGAAGAAGGUUUUCGGAUCGUAAAGCUCUGUUGUAAGAGAAGAACGAGUGUGAGAGUGGAAAGUUCACACUGUGACGGUAUCUUACCAGAAAGGGACGGCUAACUACGUG